This 1343-nucleotide ribosomal RNA is filed under the name uncultured bacterium. Its description in RNAcentral is "16S ribosomal RNA". It matches the Rfam family "Bacterial small subunit ribosomal RNA", at positions 28 to 1378 of the family's 1533-position model. The record is from RNAcentral.
GACGAACGCUGGCGGCGUGCUUAACACUUGCAAGUCGAACGGAAAGGCCCUGCUUUUGUGGGGUGCUCGAGUGGCGAACGGGUGAGUAACACGUGAGUAACCUGCCCUUGACUUUGGGAUAACUUCGGGAAACUGGGGCUAAUACCGGAUAGGAGCUCCUGCUGCAUGGUGGGGGUUGGAAAGUUUCGGCGGUUGGGGAUGGACUCGCGGCUUAUCAGCUUGUUGGUGGGGUAGUGGCUUACCAAGGCUUUGACGGGUAGCCGGCCUGAGAGGGUGACCGGCCACAUUGGGACUGAGAUACGGCCCAGACUCCUACGGGAGGCAGCAGUGGGGAAUAUUGCACAAUGGGCGGAAGCCUGAUGCAGCAACGCCGCGUGCGGGAUGACGGCCUUCGGGUUGUAAACCGCUUUCGCCUGUGACGAAGCGUGAGUGACGGUAAUGGGUAAAGAAGCACCGGCUAACUACGUGCCAGCAGCCGCGGUGAUACGUAGGGUGCGAGCGUUGUCCGGAUUUAUUGGGCGUAAAGGGCUCGUAGGUGGUUGAUCGCGUCGGAAGUGUAAUCUUGGGGCUUAACCCUGAGCGUGCUUUCGAUACGGGUUGACUUGAGGAAGGUAGGGGAGAAUGGAAUUCCUGGUGGAGCGGUGGAAUGCGCAGAUAUCAGGAGGAACACCAGUGGCGAAGGCGGUUCUCUGGGCCUUUCCUGACGCUGAGGAGCGAAAGCGUGGGGAGCGAACAGGCUUAGAUACCCUGGUAGUCCACGCUGUAAACGGUGGGUACUAGGUGUGGGGUCCAUUCCACGGGUUCCGUGCCGUAGCUAACGCUUUAAGUACCCCGCCUGGGGAGUACGGCCGCAAGGCUAAAACUCAAAGGAAUUGACGGGGCCCCGCACAAGCGGCGGAGCAUGCGGAUUAAUUCGAUGCAACGCGUAGAACCUUACCUGGGUUUGACAUGGAUCGGGAGCGCUCAGAGAUGGGUGUGCCUCUUUUGGGGUCGGUUCACAGGUGGUGCAUGGCUGUCGUCAGCUCGUGUCGUGAGAUGUUGGGUUAAGUCCCGCAACGAGCGCAACCCUUGUUCACUGUUGCCAGCACGUUAUGGUGGGGACUCAGUGGAGACCGCCGGGGUCAACUCGGAGGAAGGUGGGGAUGACGUCAAGUCAUCAUGCCCCUUAUGUCCAGGGCUUCACGCAUGCUACAAUGGCUGGUACAGAGAGUGGCGAGCCUGUGAGGGUGAGCGAAUCUCGGAAAGCCGGUCUCAGUUCGGAUUGGGGUCUGCAACUCGACCUCAUGAAGUCGGAGUCGCUAGUAAUCGCAGAUCAGCAACGCUGCGGUGAAUACGUUCCCGGG